This is a long non-coding RNA of Chinchilla lanigera (long-tailed chinchilla), 1658 nucleotides long. Ensembl lists it as uncharacterized. Lineage: Eukaryota; Metazoa; Chordata; Mammalia; Rodentia; Chinchillidae. The record is from Ensembl.
GGGGAUUUGGGGUGUUUUCUAGAGAGCGAUUUUUUUAAUGGAAGAAACCAGGCAAGAGGGGGCUGUUAAACAUGGAGCCAGGAGGCUUCCAGAGCUGAGGAUGAGGCCAGCAGAGGCGGGAGGCUGCGUCCCUCCUGGAAGAGGCCCCCAGAGCACAGCCAAGCAUUUGGCCCGUUCCCGCGCCCAGCACCUCGUGGGGGCCGUGUGCGUCUGGGUUUCAAAGCCCCCAAGAGACCUGGCGUGCAGUGGGUUAGAAAAGCCAGGGUGUCCUUGAGCUAUUCGCACGCAGCCCUAGGAAGCCACGGGGGCUCCACGCCCCCAGGACUGGGCUUGAGCCCAGGGCCUUCACACUGAGUACAGCCCCAGCCCUUUCGCAUUUGAAACAAAACCUCACUGAGUCGCUCCAUUGCCCAGGCUGAGCUCCAAUUUUCAGUCCUGCUGCCUCAGCUUCCCGCAGUGCUGGGAUGACACAUGUGCACCACCACCCCCCAUUUUGUUUUGUUUUGUUUUGUUUUUUAAUCUUUUUAAAGUCCAGCCUUAGCGUACAUUUCUCACAACUCCCCGUGCGGCCCGUGGCGCUCGGCCAUAGCCCACAUUUUGAGGGCGAAGAGGUGAGAGGAGCCAAACACGCUCGGACCCCCGGACCCGGAGGACAAAGCCCUCCCCUGGCGUGAAGCAGGGAACAAGGGUGGAGCAGCCCGGCAGGGCCAGGCAGGCUCCCGGGGUCGCAGAGGGGGGCCAGGGCCCCACGCACACGCUGAGCCGGGGAAAUAUUUUCACAGCACGCCCACUGUCUCUCCUGCGGAUUAGCCCUCAGAUUCUUGUUCCCAGCACAAAUAUGCGAGGGGAAGGAAUGCGUGCAGCCAAGACCAGCCGGAAGCGGGCGGCUUCCCGGCUGCGCCCGGGCCCUGUUCCCAGGAGCACGGCGAGGCGCAGUGAGGCCGCCCGCCCGGAGGCGAAGCCGCGGGUCCGCCCUGAGCUCCCUUCUGCAUCUGCGGGCCGACCUGAAAGAUGCGCCGCUCCCCUGCCUGCUCAACGAUGCUGCCGCGAGCAGAGCCGAGCCUCGGCUCACAGGAAGUGGCGCGGCCACCGUCUCUCUGCACCGCGUCCUCCCACGGUGGGCGCUGAACAAAGGACGCGGCUGCAUUUCCUGUCCUCUCCCGCUGCGUCUCGGAAGCCCUGGGCGCCACCAGUGUGUACGGGAAGGCACAGCCUCCUGAGGCUAUUUCAGCGUCUCCCGACCGCGUGGUGGCCCGGCCUUCGAGGCUGUGCAAGAAUAUAAAGCAAGCAGAAUUCCCAGGCUGCUGCGGGUGUAUUGAUACACACACAUACACAUGACUGUGAGUGUGCACACGUAUGACUUGACCCACCAGAGUGGAAACUCCAUAGCACAGGAUGGAUUCCGUGUGCACUCAGAGAAGUGCUUACUCUCACGCAGGGCGCAGGGCUAGAUGUUCUAGCAGCAGGCCCCCUAAUAGCCAAAGCUGUCCAUAAUCUGAUGUUCAUCAAUAGUAAAGUGCAUAAUUUGUAAUUAUACUCAUAUAAGUAAUGUAAUAGGAACCCAACACUUUAGCUACAAGACCAAGUUGGAUGAAAGAUGGAAGAACAAAAGCGAAACCUCAUGGGAAGCAGAAGUCGGUCUGACACCGAGGAACAGC